GACGAACGCUGGCGGCGUGCUUAACACAUGCAAGUCGAACGAAGUGGCGAACGGGUGAGUAACGCGUAAUCAACCAGCCCUUCAGAGGGGGACAACAGUUGGAAACGAAUGCUAAUACCGCAUACAGAAGGAGGGGUUUGCGUCUGAUUCGCUAGUUGGGGGGGUAACGGCCCACCAAGGCGAGGAUCAGUAGCCGGUCUGAGAGGGUGAACGGGCACAUUGGGACUGAGACACGGCCCAGGCUCCUACGGGCGGCAGCAGUGGGGGAUCUUCCGAAAUGGACGAAAGUCUGACGGAGCAACGCCGCGUGAGUGAUGACGGCCUUCGGGUUGUAAAGCUCUGUUAAUCGGGACGCGGUACCGGAAUAGAAAGCCACGGCUAACUACGUGCCAGCAGCCGUGGUAAUAC
RNAcentral lists this ribosomal RNA (408 nucleotides) under uncultured bacterium. RNAcentral's name for it is "partial 16S ribosomal RNA". It matches the Rfam family "Bacterial small subunit ribosomal RNA", at positions 28 to 526 of the family's 1533-position model. The record is from RNAcentral.